This 715-nucleotide ribosomal RNA is filed under the name uncultured bacterium. RNAcentral's name for it is "bacterial SSU rRNA". It matches the Rfam family "Bacterial small subunit ribosomal RNA", at positions 8 to 710 of the family's 1533-position model. The record is from RNAcentral.
AGAGUUUGAUCAUGGCUCAGAACGAACGCUGGCGGCGUGCUUAACACAUGCAAGUCGAACGCGAAAUUUUUUCUUCGGAGAAAAGAGUAGAGUGGCGCACGGGUGAGUAACGCGUAAGUAAUCUACCCUGGUAUCUGGGAUAACCCACCGAAAGGUGUGCUAAUACCGGAUACGCUGAUUUAUCAGGAAAGGUGGCCUCUGAUUUAAGCUACCGUACCAGGAGGAGCUUGCGUACCAUUAGCUAGUUGGUAGGGUAAUGGCCUACCAAGGCGACGAUGGUUAGCGGGUCUGAGAGGAUGAUCCGCCACACUGGAACUGGAACACGGACCAGACUCCUACGGGAGGCAGCAGUGAGGAAUAUUGCGCAAUGGGGGCAACCCUGACGCAGCGACGCCGCGUGGAUGAUGAAGGCUUUCGGGUCGUAAAAUCCUGUCAGAUGGAAAGAAAUGCACAUGUAGUAAUAUUAUUUGUGUUUGACGGUACCAUCAAAGGAAGCACCGGCUAACUCCGUGCCAGCAGCCGCGGUAAUACGGAGGGUGCAAGCGUUGUUCGGAAUUACUGGGCGUAAAGCGCGCGUAGGCGGCUUUAUAUGUCAGAUGUGAAAGUCCACGGCUCAACCGUGGAAGUGCAUUUGAAACUGUAAGGCUUGAGUAUUGGGGGGGGUGGUGGAAUUCCCGGUGUAGAGGUGAAAUUCGUAGAUAUCGGGAGGAAUACC